CCUACGGGAGGCAGCAGUGGGGAAUUUUGGACAAUGGGCGCAAGCCUGAUCCAGCUAUUCCGCGUGUGGGAAGACGGCCUUCGGGUUGUAAACCACUUUUGUAGAGAACGAAAAGUCUGUUGAUAAUACCGAUAGAUGAUGACGGUACUCUAAGAAUAAGCACCGGCUAACUACGUGCCAGCAGCCGCGGUAAUAAGUAGGGUGCGAGCGUUAAUCGGAAUUACUGGGCGUAAAGGGUGUGCAGGCUGUUUUGCAAGAUGGAUGUGAAAGCCCCGGGCUUAACCUGGGAAAGCCAUACAUGACUGCAAGACUAGAGUGCGUCAGAGGGGGGUGGAAUUCCAAGUGUAGCAGUGAAAUGCGUAGAUAUUUGGAAGAACACCGAUGGCGAAGGCAGCCCCCUGGGACGCAACUGACGCUCAUACACGAAAGCGUGGGGAGCAAACAGGAUUAGAUACCCCAGUAGUC
RNAcentral lists this ribosomal RNA (465 nucleotides) under uncultured bacterium. RNAcentral's name for it is "partial 16S ribosomal RNA". It matches the Rfam family "Bacterial small subunit ribosomal RNA", at positions 338 to 795 of the family's 1533-position model. The record is from RNAcentral.